GACGAACGCUGGCGGCGUGCUUAACACAUGCAAGUCGAACGGAAAGGCCCUGCUUUUGUUGGGUGCUCGAGUGGCGAACGGGUGAGUAACACGUUAGUAACCUGCCCUUGACUUUGGGAUAACUUCAGGAAACUGGGGCUAAUACCGGAUAGGAGCUCCUGCUGCAUGGUGGGGGUUGGAAAGUUUCGGCGGUUGGGGAUGGACUCGCGGCUUAUCAGCUUGUUGGUGGGGUAGUGGCUUACCAAGGCUUUGACGGGUAGCCGGCCUGAGAGGGUGACCGGCCAAAUUGGGAAUGAGAUACGGCCGAGAGUCGUAAGGGAGGCAGCAGUAGGGAAGAUUGCACGAAGGGCGGAAGCAUGAUGCAGCAACGCCGCGUGAGGGAUGACGGACUUCGGGUUGUAAACCGCUUUCGCCGGUGACGGAGAGUGAGUGAAGGUAAUGGGUAAAGAAGCACCGGCUAACUACGUG
RNAcentral lists this ribosomal RNA (468 nucleotides) under uncultured bacterium. RNAcentral's name for it is "partial 16S ribosomal RNA". It matches the Rfam family "Bacterial small subunit ribosomal RNA", at positions 28 to 507 of the family's 1533-position model. The record is from RNAcentral.